GGGAAGGAGGGACACAGUGGCUGUUGCCUCAAGUCAUCUCAUCAGCCUGAGCCAGAGCUGGGAGAAAAGACUGUGGCCUCUACGUUCUCCCCAGGCCUACUGGGGAGCAUGGUGGCCAGACUGAACCUAAGGGACACAGGAGGACCUCAGCACUUGGCAGCUAACAAGUUGAAGUUUACAGAUGACCUUCUAGGGUCCCAUGAGGAGAUACCUUUUAUGCAAGUCAAGUUGCUGGACACUGAAAGCCCCAUUUCCAGGUGCUCCCCAACCCUGACUCCAUAGUCUAGGAGACAAAUGUCCCUCGUCUCCCUCCUACCCCCUACCUGCUUGCUCACAAGCCCCUCUCCUCAAGCCUUCCAGGUCUUGCUCCUCUAUUCUUCAGCCCUUGGCAUCAGCACUGCCCCUGCCUCCCCAACUGGGGCCCCCAGCACCUGAGAAAGCAUCUCCAGAGUCUUACUUAUCAUGUGGGUUGUCACAACCAUCUACCUGUUUGCCUCUCCUCCUGGCCUAGGGACUCCUUAAAGACAGAUGGUACCAUGGCAACCUAGCCUCUGAGUGCACACUGAAUGAAUGAAUGAAUGAGUGAGUAAGGAAUGAAACCCAGUUAGCUAGGUCAUGCAGAAAGGGAUGCAGCUGGCAGAGGCUCAGGAGGCUUGAUGAAAGACACGUCAGAUUUCAGAGGAGGCUGGUCAGUGGGGAAGGCAUAACCCAAACAGUUAAAUGCCAGUGGCCAGGCUGCUGGGUUGGUACCAGAGUCAACUAAGAGGGCUCUAAGACCCUAGGGCUGUGGUGAGCCUUGGAAUACAUAAACUUUCUGGAAGGGGAUGACUCACAUUUGUUUUUAUCUGAGGGACUCCUCAGGAGCUUGCCAGGUUCAGGAACCACCAGGAGAAAAGGAAGUGGUGCUCCUGUCAUACUCCACUGAGCACCACAGUCCCCCCAUCACAGGCCAGAGCUCUUGACACACUGCCUGACCAGGAGUGGGGAAGCAAGUGUUUCUCUAGGAGGUGUACAAAGUUAGGAUUGAUCCCUGGAUACCCACACUCUCUGGUUCCCAAUGCCCAGGCCAGGCACAGUGACCCAGGAAGCAACCUUCCCUGGCCAGGUAUACCUCCUAUGCCUUCUUGCUCUGCCCUGUUCUACUUCACUGGGUCCCUGAUGUCCUCCUGUCUGGGGCAUGGGCUGGUGGUCUCUCUGAGUACUGCUCUCACCCAGCAAGGUCCCUAUCAUGGCCCUGGUCUCCUUCCAUAAGCUGCAAACUGUGUGCCCACCCUUCUUUUAGAAGGGUGCCCAGAAACUCCCUUACUUCUCAUUGUCCUCUGUUCAAAGGUCUCUUCCCAUAUCUCUGAUGUCCCCAUGUCUGUGAGCAUUAAGUAUACCCUGGAUACUGGAGGGCUUAGCCCCAACAGAACCUGCAUUGACCAGCUCCUCCUGCCUGCUGAGAGCUCUGGAGAUGGGCAGGGCACAGGUUGCCAGAAACGCUCAUAUCAGGCUGUUUGCAGUCCUGGCCCAAGGACUGGGGUGACAGGCGGGGUAGCUGAGGAUUGGGGACAUAGAGUGGCUGGCACACUCUGUUGCAGCCUCGUGACUCAGGCGCUCAGCACGUGGCAUAGCAGCACUCCUCUCCCGCCCCCAGCUUGAGAUGCCUCUGGGGGUGUACCAGGGGUUCUGGGGAGGGGAAACCCUCGGCCCGGGGAAACAGGGCCUGGAGAGAUAUUCUAGCAGACUGAGGCCCUGUGGCCACAUUCAGGGAAGCUCAGCCAUGUAGCACUGGGUGCCUUGGAAAGCGGACCACUACUCUGAAGAACGAGUCCUCCCAAGGCUUAGGGCUGGGCCCACAGUACCUGCUGCUUUGGGCAGCUGCCUCAAAUCCUCCCCCUCUUUCCUGCCAAGUGAAGGAAGGAAUGGAGCCUGCACUCCCCUGCCUCCCCCGCAGCUGGUCUGGCUAUUGCCUUUUCCCAAACCAGUGGUGGGGAAGGCUUGGUGCCACCUGCUCACCCAGAGCUUCGUUUGCUGCUAUCCGCACCCACCCCAUCCCAGCUCUUGGAGACAGCAGUGAGAAACAACAUGCCAGGAGACGGGGUCCACAGGGGCACUGCCAGCAAAAGUGCUUCAUCUCCCACCUCUGGGCAGGGUGUCCCUGCCCCUAGGCAACGUAGGGUUUCCUGAGCCCAUCUCUAGCUGGUUCAAAGGCCCCAGAUCCCUCCCAUCUACAGGUUUCCCUCUCAUCCCUAGGAGACAGGACUCACUUAUGUCUCCCAGAAGUGGUGGAGCUGGGGGGGCAAGAUUUUGUCCCAUGAAAGCCCCCAGCACUGGAUGUGGUGAGCUCAUAGGCCUAGCUGGGGUAGGGGAGCCAGGAGGCAGCAGGCACUGGGGCAGUGUCCUGGGGUCCUCUGCACUGCCUAUGUUUACAGCUAGGCCUUGAGCUUCCGUCCUUUCUAGGUGACCCCAGUCCAGCCAUGUGCACCUCUGGCCAGGUGAGCCAAGUUCCAUCAGGCCUCUGCCUGAGCCCUCAGUCUCAUGGUCCACUGCAGGCUUUCUGCUCUGAGGUUGCUGUCCAGCACUCUGUUAGAGGAGUGGGCUGGGAGAGACAGCCCUGUGUCCAACUGGGCACCAUGAAGGCCUGAGCCAACCCUGGUCAGUGGGCCCUGGGUUGUGGCAGGUGUGGGGGAGGGACUAAGAGAGGAGGGAGGUGAAGCGGCAACCGCCAUCUGCUCUUCCUGGGGAGGUGAGGCUGCCCAUGUGGAGGUUGGGAGGGGGCAGCAGAAGUGGCCGCCUGGCCAUGGGCUCCUGAGGCAGGGCCAUCUUUCCUUUUGGGGUGAUGGGCAGACAACUCUUCUCACCCAUCCAAACUCCCAGGAGACACAAGACCCCUUCCCAGCAAGUCUCCAGAUGUCCAGUUUGCCUUCUGAGGCCUCCAGCCUUUUCGAAGGCCGGGUUCCUUCUCCAGAGCCAAGAAGAUGCCAGCCCAUCCCCUCCCAGCUUCCUCUGGAGUGUUUCAGGUGCCAAUGACCCACAACCUGGUGGGGCUGUCGUCGGUGGGGAGCCACUGAGGCAAGAGGUUGCAGGAAGGCCUGGCAGGCCUGGAGGCCCAGCGGCAGCAGGGUGAGACCCGCAGCCUGGUCCCGCGCACACACCUUACCUGGGCCCGGGCUUCUGGUUCAUGCCACGCGGUCCUCUGGGCAACCUCCUGACAUGGGGAUCCCGGCACGGGCGUCGCCGAGUGUGGAGGCCGUCGAGGUUCUGGACUGGCCGGCAGGGCCCAGCCGCACCCCGCACCUCGCGCCUCGGCCUGGCUGGGCCCCUUCGGCUGUGCCUGAAGAGGAGCUCCCCGGUGGGAGAGGAUCAGCCACCCCGAGCCUCCCACCGGGGAGGCUGAGGCUACACCCAGAUAAAUAAGGCCGCUUUGCAGGGAGCCUUUGCGGGUGCCUCCUCACUCCCCUACCCUCCUCCCCGCGCUCCUCCGCGGCCGCUGCCGGCGCCGC
Otolemur garnettii (small-eared galago) is the source of this 3485-nucleotide long non-coding RNA. RefSeq lists it as uncharacterized. NCBI's taxonomy places the organism in Eukaryota, Metazoa, Chordata, Mammalia, Primates, Galagidae. The record is from RefSeq and is a predicted model, not a curated record. The transcript has 3 exons.